This 89-nucleotide transfer RNA is filed under the name Daldinia eschscholtzii. RNAcentral describes it as "tRNA-Tyr". It matches the Rfam family "tRNA". Rfam says of the family: Transfer RNA (tRNA) molecules are approximately 80 nucleotides in length. Their secondary structure includes four short double-helical elements and three loops (D, anti-codon, and T loops). RNAcentral also lists the same sequence under 1 other name. Lineage: Eukaryota; Fungi; Ascomycota; Sordariomycetes; Xylariales; Hypoxylaceae. The record is from RNAcentral.
CCCUUGGUGGUCUAGUUGGUUAUGGCGUUCGGCUGUAAUUGUUACAAAUUGUUACCGAAAUGUCGCUGGUUCGAUUCCGGCCCGAGGGA